Molecule: ribosomal RNA, 529 nt
Filed under: uncultured Aeromonas sp.
Lineage: Bacteria; Pseudomonadati; Pseudomonadota; Gammaproteobacteria; Aeromonadales; Aeromonadaceae
Description: bacterial SSU rRNA
Rfam family: Bacterial small subunit ribosomal RNA
Source: RNAcentral
AGAGUUUGAUUAUGGCUCAGAUUGAACGCUGGCGGCAGGCCUAACACAUGCAAGUCGAGCGGCAGCGGGAAAGUAGCUUGCUACUUUUGCCGGCGAGCGGCGGACGGGUGAGUAAUGCCUGGGGAUCUGCCCAGUCGAGGGGGAUAACAGUUGGAAACGGCUGCUAAUACCGCAUACGCCCUACGGGGGAAAGCAGGGGACCUUCGGGCCUUGCGCGAUUGGAUGAACCCAGGUGGGAUUAGCUAGUUGGUGGGGUAAUGGCUCACCAAGGCGACGAUCCCUAGCUGGUCUGAGAGGAUGAUCAGCCACACUGGAACUGAGACACGGUCCAGACUCCUACGGGAGGCAGCAGUGGGGAAUAUUGCACAAUGGGGGAAACCCUGAUGCAGCCAUGCCGCGUGUGUGAAGAAGGCCUUAUGGUUGUAAAGCACUUUAAGCGAGGAGGAGGCUCCUGUAGUUAAUACCUACAGUGAGUGGACGUUACUCGCAGAAUAAGCACCGGCUAACUCUGUGCCAGCCGCCGCGGUAA